UACGGAGGGUGCAAGCGUUGUUCGGAAUUAUUGGGCGUAAAGCGCGCGCAGGCGGUCUGAAAAGUCUAUGGGUGAAAUGCCGGGGCUCAACCCCGUGCAUGCCCAGGAUACUGUCAGACUGGAGACACGUAGAGGCAAGCGGAAUUCCGGGUGUAGCGGUGGAAUGCGUAGAGAUCCGGAAGAACACCGGAGGCGAAGGCGGCUUGCUGGGCGUGAUCUGACGCUGAGGCGCGAAAGCGUGGGGAGCGAACAGG
RNAcentral lists this ribosomal RNA (254 nucleotides) under uncultured bacterium. RNAcentral's name for it is "partial 16S ribosomal RNA". It matches the Rfam family "Bacterial small subunit ribosomal RNA", at positions 524 to 776 of the family's 1533-position model. The record is from RNAcentral.